Molecule: ribosomal RNA, 357 nt
Filed under: uncultured bacterium
Lineage: Bacteria
Description: bacterial SSU rRNA
Rfam family: Bacterial small subunit ribosomal RNA
Source: RNAcentral
ACCAUGGCUUCGGCCAUGGGGACAGCGGCGAACGGGUGAGUAACACGUGGGUAAUCUGCCCUCGACACUGGGAUAGCCCGGGGAAACCCGGAUUAAUACCGGAUAGCCUCUCGAGCUCUCGGGCUCGUGAGAAAAGAUGGCUUCGGCUUUCGGUUGAGGAGGAGCCUGCGGCGGAUUAGCUUGUUGGUGAGGUAACGGCCCACCAAGGCGACGAUCCGUAGCUGGUCUGAGAGGACGAUCAGCCACACUGGGACUGAGACACGGCCCAGACUCCUACGGGAGGCAGCAGUGGGGAAUCUUGCGCAAUGGGCGAAAGCCUGACGCAGCGACGCCGCGUGAGGGAAGAAGGCCUUCGGG